RNAcentral lists this ribosomal RNA (468 nucleotides) under uncultured bacterium. Its description in RNAcentral is "partial 16S ribosomal RNA". It matches the Rfam family "Bacterial small subunit ribosomal RNA", at positions 28 to 507 of the family's 1533-position model. The record is from RNAcentral.
GACGAACGCUGGCGGCGUGCUUAACACAUGCAAGUCGAACGGAAAGGCCCUGCUUUUGUGGGGUGCUCGAGUGGCGAACGGGUGAGUAACACGUGAGUAACCUGCCCUUGACUUUGGGAUAACUUCAGGAAACUGGGGCUAAUACCGGAUAGGAGCUCCUGCUGCAUGGUGGGGGUUGGAAAGUUUCGGCGGUUGGGGAUGGACUCGCGGCUUAUCAGCUUGUUGGGGGGGUAGUGGCUUACCAAGGCUUUGACGGGUAGCCGGCCUGAGAGGGGGACCGGGCACAUUGGGACUGAGAUACGGCGCAGACUCCUACGGGAGGCAGCAGUGGGGAAUAUUGCACAAUGGGCGGAAGCCUGAUGCAGCAACGCCGCGUGCGGGAUGACGGCCUUCGGGUUGUAAACCGCUUUCGCCUGUGACGAAGCGUGAGUGACGGUAAUGGGUAAAGAAGCACCGGCUAACUACGUG